Molecule: ribosomal RNA, 433 nt
Filed under: uncultured bacterium
Lineage: Bacteria
Description: partial 16S ribosomal RNA
Rfam family: Bacterial small subunit ribosomal RNA
Source: RNAcentral
AACGAACGCUGGCGGCAGGCCUAACACAUGCAAGUCGAGCGCGCCCUUCGGGGUGAGCGGCGGACGGGUGAGUAACGCGUGGGAACGUGCCCUUUUCUACGGAAUAGCCUCGGGAAACUGAGAGUAAUACCGUAUACGCCCUUUGGGGGAAAGAUUUAUCGGAAAAGGAUCGGCCCGCGUUGGAUUAGGUAGUUGGUGGGGUAAUGGCCUACCAAGCCGACGAUCCAUAGCUGGUUUGAGAGGAUGAUCAGCCACACUGGGACUGAGACACGGCCCAGACUCCUACGGGAGGCAGCAGUGGGGAAUCUUAGACAAUGGGGGCAACCCUGAUCUAGCCAUGCCGCGUGAGUAAUGAAGGCCUUAGGGUUGUAAAGCUCUUUCAGCUGGGAAGAUAAUGACGGUACCAGCAGAAGAAGCCCCGGCUAACUCCGUG